This 86-nucleotide microRNA precursor is filed under the name Ovis aries (sheep). RNAcentral's name for it is "miRNA (ENSOARG00000023224.1)". Lineage: Eukaryota; Metazoa; Chordata; Mammalia; Artiodactyla; Bovidae. The record is from RNAcentral.
UAUUGGGUUGGCCAAAAAGUUGGUUCAGGUUUAGCCAUACGAUAUUACAGGAAAACCAGAACAAACGUUUUGGCAAACCCAAUAUG